Molecule: small RNA, 551 nt
Filed under: Pongo abelii (Sumatran orangutan)
Lineage: Eukaryota; Metazoa; Chordata; Mammalia; Primates; Hominidae
Description: processed transcript
Source: RNAcentral
AUUCUGCCCCAGUGACCUGGAUCCUGCCUCUACCACUUCUUCCCUGCACAGUCACUAGGAACGGACUCUGGCAGCAGAGCCGCGCUGUAGUGCCCCAGCCAGCCAGGAUCUCCCGGGUUCUGGGCUGGAAGGGGCUGCCAAGACCAUCAGUCCAAUCUUUGGUCUACAGGUUGGGAAACUGAGGCUCAAGGAAGGUCAGUGGGGGUCCAGAAGGAACCUUGUAUGUGAGAUCUGGAAGCAGGAAUUGGAGCAGCAGUUUCAUUCUGCUUCAGCUCAGGAAGCGUCUUCGGUUCCCCCACCGCUGUGGGCCAGGUUCCCCCUCCAGGCUGCUGGGCUGGGACUGAGUCACUUCUUCCCAGGCUGUAAAUCCUGGGACUGCUGUGCAAGGCAGAGUCACUAGGGACGGACUCAGGCAGCAGAGCCGCGUUCUCAUGCCCCAGCCAGCCAGGCUCUCCUGGGAUCUGGGCUGGAAGGGGCUGCCGAGACCAUCAGUCAAAUCUUUGGUCUACAGGUGGGGAAACUGAGGCUCAAGGAAGGCUCUGCGUCCUGCU